RNAcentral lists this ribosomal RNA (429 nucleotides) under Actinomycetes bacterium. RNAcentral's name for it is "Actinobacteria bacterium partial 16S ribosomal RNA". It matches the Rfam family "Bacterial small subunit ribosomal RNA", at positions 355 to 776 of the family's 1533-position model. The record is from RNAcentral. Lineage: Bacteria; Bacillati; Actinomycetota; Actinomycetes.
UAGGGAAUCUUCCGCAAUGGGCGAAAGCCUGACGGAGCAACGCCGCGUGAGUGAUGAAGGUCUUCGGAUCGUAAAACUCUGUUAUUAGGGAAGAACAAAUGUGUAAGUAACUAUGCACGUCUUGACGGUACCUAAUCAGAAGGCCACGGCUAACUACGUGCCAGCAGCCGCGGUAAUACGUAGGUGGCAAGCGUUAUCCGGAAUUAUUGGGCGUAAAGCGCGCGUAGGCGGUUUUUUAAGUCUGAUGUGAAAGCCCACGGCUCAACCGUGGAGGGUCAUUGGAACCUGGAAAACUGGAGUGCAGAAGAGGAAAGUGGAAUUCCAUGUGUAGCGGUGAAAUGCGCAGAGAUAUGGAGGAACACCAGUGGCGAAGGCGACUUUCUGGUCUGUAACUGACGCUGAUGUGCGAAGGCGUGGGGAUCAAACAGG